The sequence is a ribosomal RNA, 540 nucleotides long. The stretch from base 170 to 322 matches the Rfam family "5.8S ribosomal RNA".
AGGGCCCUCUGCGUACAACCUCCCACCCGUGUUUAUUUUACCUUGUUGCUUCGGCGGGCCCGCCUUUACUGGCCGCCGGGGGGCUCACGCCCCCGGGCCCGCGCCCGCCGAAGACACCCUCGAACUCUGUCUGAAGAUUGUAGUCUGAGUGAAAAUAUAAAUUAUUUAAAACUUUCAACAACGGAUCUCUUGGUUCCGGCAUCGAUGAAGAACGCAGCGAAAUGCGAUACGUAAUGUGAAUUGCAAAUUCAGUGAAUCAUCGAGUCUUUGAACGCACAUUGCGCCCCCUGGUAUUCCGGGGGGCAUGCCUGUCCGAGCGUCAUUGCUGCCCUCAAGCACGGCUUGUGUGUUGGGCCCCGUCCUCCGAUUCCGGGGGACGGGCCCGAAAGGCAGCGGCGGCACCGCGUCCGGUCCUCGAGCGUAUGGGGCUUUGUCACCCGCUCUGUAGGCCCGGCCGGCGCUUGCCGAUCAACCCAAAUUUUUAUCCAGGUUGACCUCGGAUCAGGUAGGGAUACCCGCUGAACUUAAGCAUAUCAAUAA